CCCCCUUUGAUCGGAGAUUCUCCGGGAUCGGAUUCUGUGAUUGGCGGUGAAUGUCGCGCUUUUUUUUUUGCCCCCCCCCCCUUCGGUGCGGCGGGCUCUCGUUCCCCAUUUGUCUUUCUUCAGCCGAUCGGCUUGUCUUUUGUUCUGCCUGAUUGCUGUGGAUUGCUGUUGCUAGCAUUCGUCCCAUGUUGUUGGUUGCUCGGUCGCUUCGAUUCCCCUGUCGGUUCGGGUCUGCAUAGGUCGAAUGGGAGUUGAAAUCCGGUGAUGCGGGAAGAGUUUCCGGAAUUCUCGGUCAUCUCGGGCGAUUUUGAUUUAAAAAAAAAAAAUGUAGCAACUGGUUAUGCGCGACAUACAUUGUAGUGUCGACCUCGAAGGGGAACUUUACAGUACCCAAAUAGCCUCGGUGCUCUGGUCCAUGCUUUUCAGCCAGCCACGGCGUCUCCAGUUUAUGCAAUUAAAGCUGAAACAAUCUCCCUUCUCAGAACUUCUAAUUCAGCAGUACCGAUUGAAGGCUUACUGAAAACAAAAUCAAAGAAUGUCAUGAGCUCGUGCUUGCUCUAUGCGGCAAUCCGCUUUAAGAUCAUGAUGCUGUCUUUAGCAAAGGCCUCAGUCGUGUUUCAAUGCAGGUGGACAUCAGAAGAUGACUUCCCUUUAUGAUUAUAGGCAACCUUUUCAUUGUUGCUUUAGUAUCUAUGAUUAUAUUGGAUCGUUCAUCUUUUUUUGUAUUUGCGUGAUUGCACAUAAUAUGGGCGUCCAUGGCUAUUAAUCAUGCAAGUUCACUACAUGCUUCGCUUUAUCAUCUGCUGUGUUCAUCUUGCCUCUCCUCUACAAGAUUCUUGAUCAAGGUCUACGCUUACUUCAUGGUUUCGAAAGUGGCGUUGAAAUUUUAUGCAAGACAAUUUAGCCAACAUUCUAUUUUGCUCUGCUGUAAUUAAUCGAUGGAAUUGUAGGUGCCUUUUCUAUGCAAUAUGUUAAUUUGUCUGUCAAGGUUGGCAUCUUGCUUUCUACAACUAUUAAACUCUGUCUCUCAAAAAAAAAAAUUUAUUAGUGCCAAUGGACUAUAACUUCCAAAGCAAUUGAAGAUCGUCUUUAUGCUGAAGCUGUAAAAUCCUUUGUUGGAAGAUUAUGAACUUUGACCAGUAUAUGAAUUAAAAGAAAAUUUAUUCCUUCGUAUGAACAGCAAUUUUAUGCUCUUUCUACGAUAAUGAAAAUGUUAAUGGGUGCUCCUAGACACUUUUUAACUACAAUGAACAUGCUAGGAAAAUAUAACUGUCGUUUUUGUGCAUCCAGUUCUCUUAUAAUCUCUAUAUUAUUGACUUUGCACAUUUGAAACAUCAUGAAAAUACAAUGUUUCUUCCUGUAGUAGUGCUUGACAAGUGCGUGGAGAUACCGUUAAGAAAUGCCUUUUGAUGAUCUCUCUUAGCUAUCCAACGGAUGGAAAGGAAAGACUUUUUUGGAGUCCUUUCAGUCAAGAAUCGGGGCAUCAUAGUCGCUAGUCAUCAUGCGUCGUCCACUAUGCCCUACUUUAUUCGAGAUAGGAGAUGACGAUUUCCUAGGUGUAAAGGAACCACACAGAUCCAAGCUUAACUGGGUGGUUGAACUUUACUGGGGUGACGGUAAUUUGGGGGAGGUCUUCCGGAAAAAUCAGCUCGAUGUGAGGAUGGUAGAAAGUUAUAAUAGUUUAAUCGGAGUGGCCUGUUACUGAUUGAUUAGACGAGGAGCACCUUGUGUCCAGCGAUGUUGAUCGAACCUUCCCCUUCUUACCAUGGUCUUGCUCACCGGACUAGGUUUUUCGUCUGUUGAAUUUAGAUUUGUUACUUAAUGUUCUUUGUUCUACUUAUCAUGUGACAACUUUUCUGGUGUCAGCAACAAUUUCACUGCGAUAGAGUUUCCGGUUUGGCCUUUUGCCUUUGUUGUUAACGUAUCUCUCGCUAUGCGAGCCAUGUCAGUUGUUGUUUGUUUUUGCUGAUUCUGAUGGUAUUAACUGCAUUGAAUUGUCUAUAAUUGUGGUGUAUAAUGGGCUUUAUGUUGAAAUUUGGGAUUGCAGACCUGUUGUAUAGCACUUGCAGCUCCUUCUGGACUGAA
This is a long non-coding RNA of Syzygium oleosum, 2085 nucleotides long. RefSeq lists it as uncharacterized. The record is from RefSeq and is a predicted model, not a curated record. The transcript is spliced from 2 exons. NCBI's taxonomy places the organism in Eukaryota, Viridiplantae, Streptophyta, Magnoliopsida, Myrtales, Myrtaceae.